Molecule: ribosomal RNA, 484 nt
Filed under: uncultured bacterium
Lineage: Bacteria
Description: partial 16S ribosomal RNA
Rfam family: Bacterial small subunit ribosomal RNA
Source: RNAcentral
AUUGAACGCUGGCGGAAUGCUUUACACAUGCAAGUCGAACGGCAGCACGGGGGCAACCCUGGUGGCGAGUGGCGAACGGGUGAGUAAUACAUCGGAACGUGCCCGGUCGUGGGGGAUAACGUAGCGAAAGUUACGCUAAUACCGCAUACGAUCUGAGGAUGAAAGCGGGGGACCUUCGGGCCUCGCGCGAUCGGGGCGGCCGAUGUCAGAUUAGGUAGUUGGUGGGGUAAAGGCCUACCAAGCCGACGAUCUGUAGCUGGUCUGAGAGGACGACCAGCCACACUGGGACUGAGACACGGCCCAGACGCCUACGGGAGGCAGCAGUGGGGAAUUUUGGACAAUGGGCGCAAGCCUGAUCCAGCCAGUCCGCGUGCAGGACGAAGGCCUUCGGGUUGUAAACUGCUUUUGUAUGGAACGAAAAGGCUCUGGCUAAUACCUGGGGCUCAUGACGGUACCGUAAGAAUAAGCACCGGCUAACUACGUG